AAGUCGUAACAAGGUCUCCGUAGGUGAACCUGCGGAGGGAUCAUUCACAUGAUUACUUUUGAUAAACAAACUGUGAACUUUAUAUACUAUUCGUGUUUUUUUGUCAGUUUAACUUUCAUUAAACAUUGUCAUUCGUUGAACAUAAGAUAGUUGGCUUGAAAUUUAUUAUUCUUUCUCAGCUUUGAUUUGAUUGAAAAUUCAACACUUUCUCUCAAUCAACCAUAAACAUAGAAACAACUCUAUGCCCUGGAUAUCUUGGUUCUC
This 264-nucleotide unclassified non-coding RNA is filed under the name fungal sp. Its description in RNAcentral is "partial internal transcribed spacer region". The stretch from base 1 to 46 matches the Rfam family "Eukaryotic small subunit ribosomal RNA", at positions 1786 to 1831 of the family's 1831-position model. The record is from RNAcentral. Lineage: Eukaryota; Fungi.